UACGUAGGCAGCGAGCGUUGUUCGGAGUUACUGGGCGUAAAGGGUGCGUAGGCGGCGCGGUAAGUCGGGUGUGAAAUCUUGGAGCUUAACUCCGAAACUGCAUUCGAUACUGCCGUGCUUGAGGACUGGAGAGGAGACUGGAAUUUACGGUGUAGCAGUGAAAUGCGUAGAUAUCGAGAGGAACACCAGUGGCGAAGGCGAGUCCCUGGACAACUCCUGACACUGAGGCACGAAAGCUAGGGGAGCAAACAGG
RNAcentral lists this ribosomal RNA (253 nucleotides) under uncultured bacterium. Its description in RNAcentral is "partial 16S ribosomal RNA". It matches the Rfam family "Bacterial small subunit ribosomal RNA", at positions 524 to 776 of the family's 1533-position model. The record is from RNAcentral.